Long non-coding RNA from Silurus meridionalis, 1194 nucleotides. RefSeq lists it as uncharacterized. The transcript is spliced from 5 exons. NCBI's taxonomy places the organism in Eukaryota, Metazoa, Chordata, Actinopteri, Siluriformes, Siluridae. The record is from RefSeq and is a predicted model, not a curated record.
GUUUUUUUCUGUGUAACAUAGCAACUAUAGUAAACAAACCAGCGACUAAUAAGUUUCUCUCUCUUCACGCCUUGCAGCUCGUUGAAAGUAAUAAACCCACAAAUGGCCACAGUUAAUCAAGGUGGUGAUGGACCAUGGAAUACUACAGUAGAAAGGAUAGUCAUAAGGACACACAUGGAAAUGGGAGAUGCUCCUCCUAGAAUCAAUGCAACUGAUGUUACUGCCAACAGGCUCAAUAAUGUAAUCAGAUUUCAGCUCAAUCCAGACGUAUAUGAUGUUAUAGCCAACAGGCAGAAUCCCAACAUCACACCCAGAUGCAUUUUUAUAUUGUAAGGAACAGAAACACAGAGUUCUGCAGUUACAGAGAAAUAAUCAGUUACAGAGUGAUGCCAUGUGGCCUCAAUGUGGAUUCUUUCAUCCCGUUGUACUUCACCUUCAUGGUACCGUAAACAUCCUGGUACUUCUCCCACUCCUAAAUCACAGCCAUGGAACAGAAGAGCUUUAAACUUUACAUCCAUUUAAUACAAAAUAAUCUCAGCAUCUACAACUACAAAUUAAAUUUGAGAUAGAAUAAAAGUCCUUACGGCAUGUGGAGGAACUCAUCAUGUACUGCUUAAUGAUUAAUAAAUUUCCCUCUUACUGCCAUUAACCUGUUGCACUUCCUGUUAGUCUGAAGAAGUUCUGCCUCUUUCAGCUCAGCUGAGGCCUACACUUAGUCCAUGUCUGAUACCAGUUUGUAGAUCUCACCGGUACUCUGGACACCACGUCCUUCCUCUUCUUCUCCUCUGCCUGGCUCAAAGAAUUCUGAAAGUGCACCGACCAAAUGCUGUCAGAAUUUUUGUCUUUUACACACACAUUCACAUAUUCCUUAAGACUGAGCAAAAUCCAGAGAGACAAAAACAUACUAAAGAAGAAGAACAAAUACAUCAGUUCUGCACAGAGCCUGAGAAUUUGAUUAAAGUGUUAACUGAUCCAUUUAUUACACUUUUGUAAAGGUUUAUUUCUCAUAUUACAAAAUCAUUGAAUGCUACAAUGUUCUUAAAAGAUCUCAUGACAUCCUAACAUUCGAGGGAAACCUCUGUUGAGAACAUUGGAGGAGCAUUGCUAUAGUUUCUCAAACACAUUUAGCAAUUUAUUGAUUAUUUUAAAAGCAAAAGGAAACCUGCAAUAAAGAUUUACAAUCCUAUAAUAAUC